RNAcentral lists this ribosomal RNA (465 nucleotides) under Vreelandella stevensii. RNAcentral describes it as "partial 16S ribosomal RNA". It matches the Rfam family "Bacterial small subunit ribosomal RNA", at positions 338 to 795 of the family's 1533-position model. The record is from RNAcentral. Lineage: Bacteria; Pseudomonadati; Pseudomonadota; Gammaproteobacteria; Oceanospirillales; Halomonadaceae.
CCUACGGGAUGCAGCAGUGGGGAAUAUUGGACAAUGGGCGAAAGCCUGAUCCAGCCAUGCCGCGUGUGUGAAGAAGGCCUUCGGGUUGUAAAGCACUUUCAGUGGGGAAGAAAGCCUUGGGGCUAAUACCCUCGAGGAAGGACAUCACCCACAGAAGAAGCACCGGCUAAAUCCGUGCCAGCAGCCGCGGUAAUACGGAGGGUGCGAGCGUUAAUCGGAAUUACUGGGCGUAAAGCGCGCGUAGGCGGUCUGAUAAGCCGGUUGUGAAAGCCCCGGGCUCAACCUGGGAACGGCAUCCGGAACUGUCAGGCUAGAGUGCAGGAGAGGAAGGUAGAAUUCCCGGUGUAGCGGUGAAAUGCGUAGAGAUCGGGAGGAAUACCAGUGGCGAAGGCGGCCUUCUGGACUGACACCGACGCUGAGGUGCGAAAGCGUGGGUAGCAAACAGGAUUAGAUACCCCAGUAGUC